RNAcentral lists this non-coding RNA (115 nucleotides) under uncultured Sulfurimonas sp. RNAcentral's name for it is "S15". It matches the Rfam family "Ribosomal S15 leader". From Rfam's summary of the family: The E. coli Ribosomal S15 gene 5' UTR can form two alternative structures. One that is a series of three hairpins, The other includes a pseudoknot. The record is from RNAcentral. Lineage: Bacteria; Pseudomonadati; Campylobacterota; Epsilonproteobacteria; Campylobacterales; Sulfurimonadaceae.
UUCAGCUUCACAUAAAUUUAUGUGAAUGUUAGAUUAAUAUACCUAUCAGGAGGCUAUUAUGGCUUUAGAUUCGGCUAAAAAACAAGAAAUUGUUACAAAAUACGGACGUAAUGAA